RNAcentral lists this transfer RNA (71 nucleotides) under Candidozyma haemuli. Its description in RNAcentral is "Candida haemulonis tRNA". It matches the Rfam family "tRNA". Rfam says of the family: Transfer RNA (tRNA) molecules are approximately 80 nucleotides in length. Their secondary structure includes four short double-helical elements and three loops (D, anti-codon, and T loops). Further hydrogen bonds mediate the characteristic L-shaped molecular structure. tRNAs have two regions of fundamental functional importance: the anti-codon, which is responsible for specific mRNA codon recognition, and the 3' end, to which the tRNAs corresponding amino acid is attached (by aminoacyl-tRNA synthetases). tRNAs cope with the degeneracy of the genetic code in two manners: having more than one tRNA (with a specific anti-codon) for a particular amino acid; and 'wobble' base-pairing, i.e. permitting non-standard base-pairing at the 3rd anti-codon position. The record is from Rfam by way of RNAcentral. Lineage: Eukaryota; Fungi; Ascomycota; Pichiomycetes; Serinales; Metschnikowiaceae. RNAcentral also lists the same sequence under 1 other name.
GACUACAUGAUCUAAUGGUAUGAUAAUACUACUUCACAGUAUAUAUGCGAGUUCGAUUCUCGCUGUGGUUA